GGGUGAGUAACACGUGAGCAACCUGCCCCUGACUCUGGGAUAAGCGCUGGAAACGGCGUCUAAUACUGGAUACGAACAACGGCCGCAUGGCCAGUUGUUGGAAAGAUUUUUUGGUUGGGGAUGGGCUCGCGGCCUAUCAGCUUGUUGGUGAGGUAAUGGCUCACCAAGGCGUCGACGGGUAGCCGGCCUGAGAGGGUGACCGGCCACACUGGGACUGAGACACGGCCCAGACUCCUACGGGAGGCAGCAGUGGGGAAUAUUGCACAAUGGGCGGAAGCCUGAUGCAGCAACGCCGCGUGAGGGAUGACGGCCUUCGGGUUGUAAACCUCUUUUAGCAGGGAAGAAGCGAAAGUGACGGUACCUGCAGAAAAAGCGCCGGCUAACUACGUGCCAGCAGCCGCGGUAAUACGUAGGGCGCAAGCGUUAUCCGGAAUUAUUGGGCGUAAAGAGCUCGUAGGCGGUUUGUCGCGUCUGCUGUGAAAUCCCGAGGCUCAACCUCGGGCCUGCAGUGGGUACGGGCAGACUAGAGUGCGGUAGGGGAGAUUGGAAUUCCUGGUGUAGCGGUGGAAUGCGCAGAUAUCAGGAGGAACACCGAUGGCGAAGGCAGAUCUCUGGGCCGUAACUGACGCUGAGGAGCGAAAGGGUGGGGAGCAAACAGGCUUAGAUACCCUGGUAGUCCACCCCGUAAACGUUGGGAACUAGUUGUGGGGUCCAUUCCACGGAUUCCGUGACGCAGCUAACGCAUUA
This 747-nucleotide ribosomal RNA is filed under the name Microbacterium sp. Its description in RNAcentral is "bacterial SSU rRNA". It matches the Rfam family "Bacterial small subunit ribosomal RNA", at positions 104 to 862 of the family's 1533-position model. The record is from RNAcentral. Lineage: Bacteria; Bacillati; Actinomycetota; Actinomycetes; Micrococcales; Microbacteriaceae.